This 2927-nucleotide ribosomal RNA is filed under the name Escherichia coli. Its description in RNAcentral is "bacterial LSU rRNA". It matches the Rfam family "Bacterial large subunit ribosomal RNA". Lineage: Bacteria; Pseudomonadati; Pseudomonadota; Gammaproteobacteria; Enterobacterales; Enterobacteriaceae. The record is from RNAcentral.
GGGUUGUGAGGUUAAGCGACUAAGCGUACACGGUGGAUGCCCUGGCAGUCAGAGGCGAUGAAGGACGUGCUAAUCUGCGAUAAGCGUCGGUAAGGUGAUAUGAACCGUUAUAACCGGCGAUUUCCGAAUGGGGAAACCCAGUGUGAUUCGUCACACUAUCAUUAACUGAAUCCAUAGGUUAAUGAGGCGAACCGGGGGAACUGAAACAUCUAAGUACCCCGAGGAAAAGAAAUCAACCGAGAUUCCCCCAGUAGCGGCGAGCGAACGGGGAGCAGCCCAGAGCCUGAAUCAGUGUGUGUGUUAGUGGAAGCGUCUGGAAAGGCGCGCGAUACAGGGUGACAGCCCCGUACACAAAAAUGCACAUGCUGUGAGCUCGAUGAGUAGGGCGGGACACGUGGUAUCCUGUCUGAAUAUGGGGGGACCAUCCUCCAAGGCUAAAUACUCCUGACUGACCGAUAGUGAACCAGUACCGUGAGGGAAAGGCGAAAAGAACCCCGGCGAGGGGAGUGAAAAAAGAACCUGAAACCGUGUACGUACAAGCAGUGGGAGCACGCUUAGGCGUGUGACUGCGUACCUUUUGUAUAAUGGGUCAGCGACUUAUAUUCUGUAGCAAGGUUAACCGAAUAGGGGAGCCGAAGGGAAACCGAGUCUUAACUGGGCGUUAAGUUGCAGGGUAUAGACCCGAAACCCGGUGAUCUAGCCAUGGGCAGGUUGAAGGUUGGGUAACACUAACUGGAGGACCGAACCGACUAAUGUUGAAAAAUUAGCGGAUGACUUGUGGCUGGGGUGAAAGGCCAAUCAAACCGGGAGAUAGCUGGUUCUCCCCGAAAGCUAUUUAGGUAGCGCCUCGUGAAUUCAUCUCCGGGGGUAGAGCACUGUUUCGGCAAGGGGGUCAUCCCGACUUACCAACCCGAUGCAAACUGCGAAUACCGGAGAAUGUUAUCACGGGAGACACACGGCGGGUGCUAACGUCCGUCGUGAAGAGGGAAACAACCCAGACCGCCAGCUAAGGUCCCAAAGUCAUGGUUAAGUGGGAAACGAUGUGGGAAGGCCCAGACAGCCAGGAUGUUGGCUUAGAAGCAGCCAUCAUUUAAAGAAAGCGUAAUAGCUCACUGGUCGAGUCGGCCUGCGCGGAAGAUGUAACGGGGCUAAACCAUGCACCGAAGCUGCGGCAGCGACGCUGAUGCGUUGUUGGGUAGGGGAGCGUUCUGUAAGCCUGUGAAGGUGUGCUGUGAGGCAUGCUGGAGGUAUCAGAAGUGCGAAUGCUGACAUAAGUAACGAUAAAGCGGGUGAAAAGCCCGCUCGCCGGAAGACCAAGGGUUCCUGUCCAACGUUAAUCGGGGCAGGGUGAGUCGACCCCUAAGGCGAGGCCGAAAGGCGUAGUCGAUGGGAAACAGGUUAAUAUUCCUGUACUUGGUGUUACUGCGAAGGGGGGACGGAGAAGGCUAUGUUGGCCGGGCGACGGUUGUCCCGGUUUAAGCGUGUAGGCUGGUUUUCCAGGCAAAUCCGGAAAAUCAAGGCUGAGGCGUGAUGCACGAGGCACUACGGUGCUGAAGCAACAAAUGCCCUGCUUCCAGGAAAAGCCUCUAAGCAUCAGGUAACAUCAAAUCGUACCCCAAACCGACACAGGUGGUCAGGUAGAGAAUACCAAGGCGCUUGAGAGAACUCGGGUGAAGGAACUAGGCAAAAUGGUGCCGUAACUUCGGGAGAAGGCACGCUGAUAUGUAGGUGAAGCGACUUGCUCGUGGAGCUGAAAUCAGUCGAAGAUACCAGCUGGCUGCAACUGUUUAUUAAAAACACAGCACUGUGCAAACACGAAAGUGGACGUAUACGGUGUGACGCCUGCCCGGUGCCGGAAGGUUAAUUGAUGGGGUCAGCGCAAGCGAAGCUCUUGAUCGAAGCCCCGGUAAACGGCGGCCGUAACUAUAACGGUCCUAAGGUAGCGAAAUUCCUUGUCGGGUAAGUUCCGACCUGCACGAAUGGCGUAAUGAUGGCCAGGCUGUCUCCACCCGAGACUCAGUGAAAUUGAACUCGCUGUGAAGAUGCAGUGUACCCGCGGCAAGACGGAAAGACCCCGUGAACCUUUACUAUAGCUUGACACUGAACAUUGAGCCUUGAUGUGUAGGAUAGGUGGGAGGCUUUGAAGUGUGGACGCCAGUCUGCAUGGAGCCGACCUUGAAAUACCACCCUUUAAUGUUUGAUGUUCUAACGUUGACCCGUAAUCCGGGUUGCGGACAGUGUCUGGUGGGUAGUUUGACUGGGGCGGUCUCCUCCUAAAGAGUAACGGAGGAGCACGAAGGUUGGCUAAUCCCGGUCGGACAUCAGGAGGUUAGUGCAAUGGCAUAAGCCAGCUUGACUGCGAGCGUGACGGCGCGAGCAGGUGCGAAAGCAGGUCAUAGUGAUCCGGUGGUUCUGAAUGGAAGGGCCAUCGCUCAACGGAUAAAAGGUACUCCGGGGAUAACAGGCUGAUACCGCCCAAGAGUUCAUAUCGACGGCGGUGUUUGGCACCUCGAUGUCGGCUCAUCACAUCCAUCGGGCUGAAGUAGGUCCCAAGGGUAUGGCUGUUCGCCAUUUAAAGUGGUACGCGAGCUGGGUUUAGAACGUCGUGAGACAGUUCGGUCCCUAUCUGCCGUGGGCGCUGGAGAACUGAGGGGGGCUGCUCCUAGUACGAGAGGACCGGAGUGGACGCAUCACUGGUGUUCGGGUUGUCAUGCCAAUGGCACUGCCCGGUAGCUAAAUGCGGAAGAGAUAAGUGCUGAAAGCAUCUAAGCACGAAACUUGCCCCGAGAUGAGUUCUCCCUGACCCUUUAAGGGUCCUGAAGGAACGUUGAAGACGACGACGUUGAUAGGCCGGGUGUGUAAGCGCAGCGAUGCGUUGAGCUAACCGGUACUAAUGAACCGUGAGGCUUAACCUUACAACGCCGAAG